GUGAGGAAUAUUGCGCAAUGGAGGCAACUCUGACGCAGCCAUGCCGCGUGCAGGAAGAAGGCGCUACGCGUUGUAAACUGCUUUUAACCGGGAAGAAACCCCAGGACGUGUCCUGGGUUGACGGUACCGGAGGAAUAAGCACCGGCUAACUUCGUGCCAGCAGCCGCGGUAAUACGAAGGGUGCAAGCGUUAUCCGGAUUCAUUGGGUUUAAAGGGUGCGUAGGCGGAGCGUUAAGUCAGUGGUGAAAUCCUGCAGCUUAACUGUAGACUUGCCAUUGAUACUGGCGCUCUUGAGUGCGGUUGAAGUGGGCGGAAUGUGCCGUGUAGCGGUGAAAUGCUUAGAUAUGGCACAGAACACCAAUUGCGAAGGCAGCUCACUAAGGCGAUACUGACGCUGAGGCACGAAAGCGUGGGGAUCGAACAGGAUUAGAAACCCGAGUAGUCC
RNAcentral lists this ribosomal RNA (445 nucleotides) under uncultured bacterium. RNAcentral's name for it is "partial 16S ribosomal RNA". It matches the Rfam family "Bacterial small subunit ribosomal RNA", at positions 354 to 796 of the family's 1533-position model. The record is from RNAcentral.